CCUACGGGAGACUGCAGUGAGGAAUAUUGGUCAAUGGACGAGAGUCUGAACCAGCCAAGUAGCGUGAAGGAUGACUGCCCUAUGGGUUGUAAACUUCUUUUAUAUGGGAAUAAAAUGUUCCACGUGUGGGAUUUUGUAUGUACCAUAUGAAUAAGGAUCGGCUAACUCCGUGCCAGCAGCCGCGGUAAUACGGAGGAUCCGAGCGUUAUCCGGAUUUAUUGGGUUUAAAGGGAGCGUAGGUGGAUUGUUAAGUCAGUUGUGAAAGUUUGCGGCUCAACCGUGAAAUUGCAGUUGAAACUGGCGGUCUUGAGUACAGUAGAGGUAGGCGGAAUGCGUGGUGUAGCGGUGAAAUGCUUAGAGAUCACGAAGAACUCCGAUUGCGAAGGCAGCUCACUGGACUGCAACUGACACUGAGGCUCGAAAGUGUGGGGAGCAAAUAGGAUUAGAUACCCCUGUAGUC
This 460-nucleotide ribosomal RNA is filed under the name uncultured bacterium. Its description in RNAcentral is "partial 16S ribosomal RNA". It matches the Rfam family "Bacterial small subunit ribosomal RNA", at positions 338 to 795 of the family's 1533-position model. The record is from RNAcentral.